Molecule: ribosomal RNA, 466 nt
Filed under: uncultured bacterium
Lineage: Bacteria
Description: partial 16S ribosomal RNA
Rfam family: Bacterial small subunit ribosomal RNA
Source: RNAcentral
GACGAACGCUGGCGGCGUGCUUAACACAUGCAAGUCGUACGGUAAGGCUCCAGCUUGCUGGGGUACACGAGUGGCGAACGGGUGAGUAACACGUGGGUGACCUGCCCUGCACUUCGGGAUAAGCCUGGGAAACUGGGUCUAAUACCGGAUAGGACCAUGGUGUGGAUACUGUGGUGGAAAGUUUUUUCGGUGUGGGAUGGGCCCGCGGCCUAUCAGCUUGUUGGUGGGGUAAUGGCCUACCAAGGCGGCGACGGGUAGCCGGCCUGAGAGGGUGGACGGCCACAUUGGGACUGAGACACGGCCCAGACUCCUACGGGAGGCAGCAGUGGGGAAUAUUGCACAAUGGGCGGAAGCCUGAUGCAGCGACGCCGCGUGGGGGAUGACGGCCUUCGGGUUGUAAACUCCUUUCACCAUCGACGAAGGGUUUCUGACGGUAGAUGGAGAAGAAGCACCGGCUAACUACGUG